RNAcentral lists this ribosomal RNA (503 nucleotides) under uncultured bacterium. RNAcentral describes it as "partial 16S ribosomal RNA". It matches the Rfam family "Bacterial small subunit ribosomal RNA", at positions 28 to 523 of the family's 1533-position model. The record is from RNAcentral.
GAUGAACGCUAGCGAUAGGCCUAACACAUGCAAGUCGAGGGGCAGCAUAGAGUAGCAAUACUUUGAUGGCGACCGGCGCACGGGUGAGUAACACGUAUGCAACCUACCUACAUCAGGGGAAUAACCCGGAGAAAUUCGGACUAAUACCGCAUAAUACAGGGAUGCCGCAUGGCAAUAUUUGUUAAAGAUUUAUCGGAUGUAGAUGGGCAUGCGUUCCAUUAGCUAGUUGGUAAGGUAACGGCUUACCAAGGCAACGAUGGAUAGGGGAACUGAGAGGUUUGUCCCCCACACUGGAACUGAGACACGGACCAGACUCCUACGGGAGGCAGCAGUGAGGAAUAUUGGUCAAUGGACGAGAGUCUGAACCAGCCAAAUCGCGUGAAGGAAGACUGCCCUACGGGUUGUAAACUUCUUUUGUACAGGAAUAAAAGACAUUACGUGUAAUGUAUUGCAUGUACUGUACGAAUAAGCAUCGGCUAACUCCGUGCCAGCCGCCGCGGUAA